RNAcentral lists this non-coding RNA (75 nucleotides) under Deltaproteobacteria bacterium. RNAcentral's name for it is "c-di-GMP sequence". It matches the Rfam family "c-di-GMP-I-GGC riboswitch aptamer". Lineage: Bacteria; Pseudomonadati; Myxococcota; Myxococcia. The record is from RNAcentral.
GCCGAUAAAGCCAAACUCCAAGCAAUUGGGGGGCGGGAAACCACGGGUCCCUCUGGGAUAGCCGAGUUGCCGAAG